GCCAGGAUAGCUCAGAUGGCAGAGCAGGACUUUCGUAAAGUCAAGGUCGAGAGUUCGAUUCUCUCUCCUGGCU
RNAcentral lists this transfer RNA (73 nucleotides) under Candidatus Nomurabacteria bacterium RIFOXYA1_FULL_35_17. RNAcentral describes it as "tRNA-Thr". It matches the Rfam family "tRNA". Rfam says of the family: Transfer RNA (tRNA) molecules are approximately 80 nucleotides in length. RNAcentral also lists the same sequence under 2 other names. Lineage: Bacteria; Candidatus Nomuraibacteriota. The record is from RNAcentral.